Molecule: long non-coding RNA, 3704 nt
Filed under: Pan paniscus (pygmy chimpanzee)
Lineage: Eukaryota; Metazoa; Chordata; Mammalia; Primates; Hominidae
Description: lncRNA (ENSPPAG00000045000.1)
Source: RNAcentral
AUAAUUGGAUCAUUUUUGAUUUCUACAAAUGACCUAAGAGAUCACUAUUACCUUUUCCAUUUUAAGGAUGAGAAAACUGCUGCUCAGAACGUUAAAGGGACUUAUCCAAACUCAUGAAAUAAGUAAAAGGCAGAACAAAGUUUUAAAUCAGCUCUCACUGGUCCUAAAGCCUGUACUUAUUCCACAGUACUAUUGGAAAACAGAGGAGUGCCAAACAAGUGACUCACCUAAAUCAAUGCUGAAGACACACAGAAUAUUGAAGGAUCAACUCUACUUCUUCGAAAUAUACUUUAAUACUUUCACUGCCAAACCAGAGUUCAAGAAAUAACUGCGGUGGAAUGAUAAUGAGAAGUUUAACAGUUUUAUGAUGGUUGAAGCUGACUUUAUGAAAGUUGAUAAAUUUCAUCUUGUAGGUUUCAAUUUCUCAUUCCCUACCGAGAGAUGGGGAGAAUACAUUGACACUGCAUUUUAAAUUGGCUAGAUCAGAAGGAACAGCAGCUAAAAUCCAUUACAACCCAAUUACUUCCAUCAGCUGAAGCUGUGUGCAUUCACUUGUGAACAUCAGCAUUUAAUCCAUAAAGAGGAACUAAUGAGAAAUUUGAAAAUGGAAUCCACGCAUCAGUAAGUUUGGAGAGAUUUUUCUGGGAUUAAUGAUCUGCCAGAGCAUCUUCAGCAUGCUGGAAAGCUAUUCUCUCUGGGUUUGUUUACUGACCAAGAGAAAAAAAAAGGGGGUUUCCUUCUGUCUGCUCAUCAAAUAUUUGAAAGACUACUCAUUUCAGUCCUUGAAAAUGGGAUACCGUGAGCUUUGGAAGUAAGGUACGUGUUGGUGAACACUGUUGUCAUUGAACAGGAAAAAUUAAAUUAUUAGGUGAGAAGUUUCCACCUAGAGAUUAGUAACAAGUAGCCUGAACAAAUUAUUUUACCUGUAUAGAUGCUAAGACAGAUGUGUUCUUUUAAUUUAAGACCUGAGAGCGUGUUUAGAGUUGCACGUAAUGGCAAUAAUUCUAUGUUGUAGAAAUAGAGAAAUAGUUUUUAUUUUUCACUUUUGGUGGUUGCAUGGAUAGAAAUAAAUAUUCCUCUUGUCGAAUUGCAAUUGCUUAAAGAGUAACAAGGAAGCUUAGAGAGAGUAGAGCAUAAACUUGUUAACAAUUGCAUAACUUCACAUGUACAAUUUCUGAGUUAAUAAACAUAUAGUUUGUGAAAAGUUAACACUGGAUGAAGCUUUAGAAUGCUGUGCAAUUUCUUCUCAUCUGGUGAAAAUGGUUUCUGUAAGCAUACAAUUUAGGGAUGUUACUAUAUCCGAGGUCUGGCAAAUGUAGUCAUCAGAUUAAAUAAAUGUAUAUGUGGACUGUGGGGGAUUGGAUCCCCAUGUUUGGAAAGUAAUUUGGUUCAAUUUGUUGCUCUUUGGAGAGAAGGUAAGUGUGUAGAUUUCAUAUUCAAAUUACAUCAGACAGUAUGACUUGUUCCUCUAUUUCUAUAGUUCCUGAAGUAUGCCUCUCUAAGUGUGAAUACAGCACCUCAUGAUAUUGAUGGCUUUAAUGGAGGUUAAAACAUAAGAAAUUAGAGUUGUUAUUUUUUUUUGUCUUAUGCAAAAUUUCAGAGAGAAGUUUAAUUUCAUUCUAUCUUUAGAAAAAUAAAUAGCAAAGGGAAUACACAGAAGUGUGACCCUUGUAUUCUGGGCACAGGGAAGCCAUUGGAGGAUUUUUAGUGGAGAGAUAACACACAGGUAUUAGAAGGGUUACUCUGGCUGCAGUGGAGACUAGAUUGGGGUAAGAUUGUAAAUGGAGAGUGCAGAGAGAACAAUGAGGCUUUUUCUGUUUUUAAAGGAAGAGAGUAUUGGUGGUGGCAACAAUAUUGGGAGAGGAGACAUGUUGAAGGAUAUAUGAGAAGUAGAGCUGACAGAACUUGGUUGUUGAAAUACCGGAUGUUGUUUUUAGAGCAAGUGGGUUAUUGGUGGUUCCAUUUACUGCGAGAGAGGUACUGGGUAAAAGGGGAUUAGUCAUGGGAGUCCAGGCUAUCUUCUUGGCCUUUGCUGAUGGGCAUGGGGACAGGGCUGUUAUUUUUUUGUGGUAUUGGUCUGCAGUAGGGUACCUAUUACCUUAAAGUUUGUUUUGCUAGCCUUUGCCUUUUGUGUAUUUUGGCUUGAGAGAGCUGGCUUUCCAUGGGGUGAUUUUUGUGUGCUAUUGUUGCUGUUUCCAAAUUGCUAGCUUGCCAUCACACAGUCUGGGAUACAUGAAGCAAAAAGCAAAAUCAAGAAACUCAUGUAAUUCCUUGAGUUAAGGGUCUCAAAUGGUAUGUUUUUUUCCUCCAACUUUGGGAGUCCUUUUAUGAUUGUUUUAUACCUAGUGUCCUGGAUUUUUAGUUGUACUUAGAAGGAGGAGUAGGGAAAUUUACUUCUACUCUAUCUUGUUCUGAAACUGCAAGUAACUUAGGAUUUCUUAAGCUAGAAACAAUUAUAAAAGAACUAAGGAGGAAGAGACUAAUACAAAAAACAAAGUUCCAUUACUGCCUGAAAUACUGACCCUUCACAUUUAAAACUAAGAUUAUUAUAUAUUUAUCUAAGACUCACUUUUCCAAAUUUCUAGCAUUAUCAGAAACACUAGUCUGUAAGUUCUGCUUCAAAAAUAAUCUGAAGAAAGGCCAUAACUGUGUGUUAGGAAUAAGAGUUCCAUUAUUCUAACAUAAGAUUAAGAUUGCUCUGACUUAUGAUAAGAAAAGAAAAAAUUAUUGAUUUUGAUAACAUCUAAACAUGACCAACAUUUUAUUAGAAAAUCAAAACAUUAGAGAGAAAUUUAAUAUAAUUUUAGUAUAAAAUCAAAUAGGUGAACAAGCAUGGGAAAUACACAUAAAAGGUAACUGGGACUCAUUUGGUGGAAAUACAAAUUACAGCACAUCAAGGCCAUUGGUGAACAAUUAUUUAUUAAGUGUAUUUUUUCUGAUUGAGCAGUUCUGUAAAUAUUUGUGUAUGUACUUUUAUUAUUAAAUAUAUUCAAAUAUUUACUCAUGUAUAGUCUAUGUUGCUAUGGAAAGGAACAGAGAUGAGAGAGAGAGAAACAGAGGAAAAGAGAGAGAAUUAGUGGAUUAAACAAGAAGGAAAAAAACAUUAAAAAAAUAAUUCCAGAGGAAGGUGGAUGUUCCAGGAUGGGUGAAUGGCUCAGCUCCAUGAAGUUCUGAGCAAUUCUUUCUCAUUGCUUUACCAGUUCUGAAGGGGUUGCUAUUUUUUGCAAGGUCAAGUCUGGGUCAAGUCUGGCUUCCUGAAACUAUAGCCUGGUGUUCCAUCCUAUAGAAAGGGGGAAAGAGAAAAUGGAUGUCAAGCAUAUGUUUCCAAGUAAGUCACAUGGAUUUGUAUACAUCGUUUCUACACACAUUUCGUUUGAUGAUAACUUCUUUCCCUCACUGACCACUUCCCUAAGGAUACUACCCCAAAUUCCAUUCAGCUACAGUAUGCAACUAGAAAUUUAGGAUCUGUGAGUGAUGUGCAAUCCUUUCUAUAUGCUCCAGAUUUGGCUCCUGGUUAACUAAGGGGAUAUAAACUAAUAUCUGUUCCCACUCCUCACACAUACCCAGUAUGCAACAGAUAGUUGCUUUAAACUCUCCCCACAAAUAAAAGGAAGAAUUAGAGGCACACCACAGAGUAGUCACAGGUUUUCAAGAAAUCCUCUUGCCUCAGCCUCUUGAGUAGCUAGGACUACAGUGCAUGCCAC